AACAAAAUUGGCGACUUGAAACUAAAUCAU
RNAcentral lists this non-coding RNA (30 nucleotides) under Cricetulus griseus (Chinese hamster). The record is from RNAcentral. Lineage: Eukaryota; Metazoa; Chordata; Mammalia; Rodentia; Cricetidae.